This is a long non-coding RNA of Oreochromis niloticus (Nile tilapia), 1842 nucleotides long. RefSeq annotates it as transposable element Tc1 transposase. The record is from RefSeq and is a predicted model, not a curated record. The transcript is spliced from 3 exons. Lineage: Eukaryota; Metazoa; Chordata; Actinopteri; Cichliformes; Cichlidae.
CAACAACAACCGUUGUUUACUCGGUUGAGAAUAGGACAUACAGGUUAAAACUAUACCCUGCACUGAAGAGGGAAACACCCAACAGGUCCACCAUCCACUCAUAUAGGUGGCGGUAAUGCACUUGUAAGUGUGGUUUGCCAACCACCAUUAACCUCCAACGAAGAAGAAGCUAGAGCAGGGAUGCUUCAGCGUUUACUUACCAUAACGACGGCAGUUCAAACGGAGGUGAGGUGGUCUGCCGUAAACUGGACUAACCGAUAGAAGGACCUGAGGCGUCGUUGCACUUUUUUGGGUGAAUUAAAUUUUUCCUGCAGAUGACCCUGAUGCAGCAACACAACUAAACCAGGAUUGGAAACCUGUCCCAUCAUCUCAUCUUUGUAAAUCUCCAACUCGAAGGCGCUGCCCUCAAAUUCAGACUUCAGCACGAUCCAGUGACAGCGGACAAAUCUUCCCAUAUUUUAACCGUUAAUGCUGAAUACACUCAUUUAAUAUUGUAGUGAAUUUGCUGUAAAUCCAAAAUUAACUGAUAAAAAAGGACAAAAGCUGUUUCAAUGAGAAAGUUAAAGACCAAAAAAAAAAAAGAAUCAAGCAUCUAGGCUUGCAGACUGCUUCUACAAACAUUUGUAAGGAAUGGGUCGCUCUCAGGAGCUCAGUGAAUUCCAGCGUGGUACCGUGAUAGGAUGCCAUCUGUCCAGCAGGUCUAGUCGUGAAAUUUCCUCGCUACUAAAUAUUCCACAGUCAACUGUUAGUAGUAUUAUAACAAAGUGGAAGCGAUUGGGAACGACAGCAACUCAGCCACGAAGUGGGAGGCCACGUAAAAUCACAAAACGAGGGAAGCGGAUGCUGAAGCACAUACUGCGCAGAGGUAGCCAACUUUCUGCAGAGUCAAUUGCUACAGACCUCCAAACCGCAUGUGGCCUUCAGAUCAGCUCAAGAACAGUGCGUAGAGAGCUUCAUGGAAUGGGUUUCUAUGGCCGUGCAGCUGCACCCAAGCCUUACAUCACCAACCGUAAUGCAAAGCGCCGGAUGCAGUGGUGUAAAGCACACCGCCACUGGACUCUAGAGCAGUGGAAACGUAUUCUCUGGAGUGGUGAAUCAUGCUUCUCUGUCUGGCAAUCUGAUGGACAAGUCUGGGUUUGGCGGUUGCCAGGAGAACAGUACUUGUCUGACUGUAUUGUACCCAGUGUGAAGUUUGGUGGAGGGGGAGUUAUGGUGUGGGGUUGUUUUUCAGGAGUUGGGCUUGGCCCCUUAGUUCCAGUGAAAGAAACUCUUAAUGCUUCAGCAUACCAAGACAUUUUGGACAAUUUUAUGCUCCCAACUUUGUGGGAACAGUUUGGGGAUAGCCCAUUCCUGCUCCAACAUGACUGCACCCCAGUGCACAAAUCAAGGUCCAUAAAGACAUGGAUGAAUGAGUUUGGUGUAGAAGAACUUGACUGGCCUGCACAGAGCCCUGACCUCAACCCAAUAGAACACCUGUGGGAUGAGUUAGAGCGGAGACUGCGAGCCAGGCCGACAUCAGUGUCUGACCUCACAAAUGCACUUCUGGAAGAAUGGUCAGAAAUUCCCUUAAACACACUCCUAAACUUUGUGGAAAGCCUUCCCAGAAGAAUUGAAGCUGUUAUAGCUGCAAAGGGUGGGCCAACUUCAUAUUAAACCCAAUGGAUUAAGAAUGGGAUGGGACUCAAGUUCAUAUGUGUGUGAAGGCAAAUAGCUUUGGCAAUAAUAGUGUACAGGGAGUGCAGAAUUAUUAGGCAAGUUGUAUUUUUGAGGAAUAAUUUUAUUAUUGAACAACAACCAUGUUCACAAUGAACCCAAAAAACUCAUUAAUAUCAAAGCUGAAUG